UGCCCAUCAACUUGUGGUGCGCACCUAGAGCGGGCUCCCCGCGGGCCGCGCCAAGCCCCACCCCUCCUAUGCUGCCCAAUGAGAGGCUCGAGUUUACGUCUUGGACCCUCCCACGGACGACGGAGGCCUCGCUGGGCCACGCCCCCAACUUUCCCCAGCGCCUGCCGUGGUGUCUGAGUGGUAGAGCAGCCGGGCCCCUCGCCCGCCUGCUGGGCUCCCGCCUGUGAGCCGCCGUGUGUAGACGGAGGAGGGGGUUGGUGUUGGAAAGGCGGGGGCCUGGCCAGCUCGUUUGCACACCGCCCCCUGACAGAACCUUCUAGUGCCUUCCAGCGUCUGGGGUGACCCGACUCCCACCCCGGGAAGCAGGAAUCCCACCCUUACGGAAAAGCCAUCAAUGAGGAAGGCUCUGUCCCUGAGACGGAACAGGAUAUGAGAGAUGAUGGGCCUGUACUCUGAGUUCCAUCCAGACAGCGGCUCUGCACCCCCAAGUUCCACGAGGUCAGCAUCACAGGCCCUGAAGCUCGGAUGGCAAUUCUGGGGUCUCACAGCAGCAGAGCCAAGUGGGAGAGGUGUGCCACUGGUCCCCAUGUUGUCACCAAGGGUUACUGGUCUGUAUAAGCUUGGAGAUUGGGAGUAGUGUGAGCAGGACAAGGUUUCUCUGUGUAGCUCUGGAUGUCCUGGAACUCACUCUGUAGCCCAGGCUGGCGUCAAACUCACAGAGAUCCGCCUGCCUCUGCCUCCAAGAGUGCUGGGAUUAAAGGCGUGCCCAGCACCGCCCGGCUCUCUGGACCAUGCUUUCUGCUGGAAGCCUGUACAGGGAUGUGGAGAAGAAAGAGCCUGAUUGGCCUGACCUUGCUUACACAUUCCUCCGCUGGCUUUGGAGCCUGCGUCGUCUCUGGAGUCCUGCAUGUCCUGAAGAUCAACUGAGACAUCCAGCCCCCUGGACUGAGCAAAUGCUGGAUCCUUGGGCCUUCCAUUCGUAACCAGCCAUUGUUGGAUUAGCUGGACCGCAGCCUCUAAGUUACUCUAAUAAAUCUCUUUUCUAUA
Molecule: long non-coding RNA, 1047 nt
Organism: Mesocricetus auratus (golden hamster)
Lineage: Eukaryota; Metazoa; Chordata; Mammalia; Rodentia; Cricetidae
Exons: 3
Source: RefSeq, a predicted model, not a curated record